Streptomyces coelicolor A3(2) is the source of this 90-nucleotide regulatory RNA element. It matches the Rfam family "ZMP/ZTP riboswitch aptamer (pfl RNA motif)". Rfam says of the family: Previously known as pfl RNA. ZMP is also known as AICAR. Lineage: Bacteria; Bacillati; Actinomycetota; Actinomycetes; Kitasatosporales; Streptomycetaceae. The record is from Rfam.
ACCCCGGGCCGUGACUGGCGCGCUGGGAUGGGACGAACCAUCGGGAAGCGGCCCCGGAAACACCGAGAGCCGUGCGCCUGGGCCAUCCGU